Non-coding RNA from Aedes albopictus (Asian tiger mosquito), 118 nucleotides. Lineage: Eukaryota; Metazoa; Arthropoda; Insecta; Diptera; Culicidae. The record is from Rfam.
UGCCCAGCAACUCCUAUCCCUACCUCCACGUGGUACCGGCCGGAAACUAUGAGCAACCUUAGGGAAGAUCGGGUAACCAACCCCGGUGGGAACUUUGGUCGUAGGCUGACAGGGAAGG